CUCUGGCAACCCGCUGGGUUCCCUUCCACAUUGGGAAAGUUUUGUUCUUUCCUUCUUUGCAAUAAAUCUUGCUACUGCUUGCUUUUUGGGUUCAUAUUGCCUUUAUAAGUUGUGACACUCAUCGUGAAGGUCUGUAGCUUCGCUCCUGAAGCUAGGGAGACCAUGAACCCACCAGAGGGAAGAAACUCUGAACACAUCCAAACAUCAGAAGGAACAAACUCCGAAUGCGCCAUUUCUAAGAACUGUAACACUCCCCCCAAGGGUCUGUGGCUUCAUUCUUGAAGUUGGUGAGACCAAGAACCCACCAAUUCCGGACACACCGGCACUUUAGGAGGCCGAGGCAGGCAGAUACCUGAUGAGUGCCAUGCCAUGUCGUCCAAGCUGGCUUCAAACUCCUGAGUUCAAACAAUCCUCCC
RNAcentral lists this long non-coding RNA (416 nucleotides) under Homo sapiens (human). RNAcentral's name for it is "HSALNT0365805". Lineage: Eukaryota; Metazoa; Chordata; Mammalia; Primates; Hominidae. The record is from RNAcentral.